CAGGCUGAUCAGCUGGCUGAGACCGAGGAGACCCGGCUCCUGUGGCAGAGGACACCCCUAAGUUAGGUGCUUCCUCCUGCCUCAUACAGCAAGCCUGACCCCAUCUGAAGACAUCAGGAAAAGUGGCAGACUUUCGAUGCCCAUGUGUUGGGGAUCGCUACUGGCCUUGAGAAAGCAAAGGCCAGUGAUGCUGCUAAACAUCCACAAGGCCCGUAUGAUCCCUCAGAGUGAGACUGCAUCUCCCAACAGAGCCUCCCUUGAGUUGGUGUGAUGUUUUCUGAGCAGCUUCAGGGUGGGCACCCUCCACCAGAGCCCUGCACAGUGGCAUGGAAGCCUUCACCAGCGCUUGUCUCUGGCAGUGCACAAGCACAGCUAUCCCUCCUUGUGAUAUUAACGUCAGUCCCUGCAUGAAGAUGUUUAAUGACUUCCCCGUUGUGUGACUACUGCCCACAGUCAGGCACAGAGACCCUGCAAACACUCCUCUCUCCAGCAAAGCACUGACCUGGACUUAGCAUCCACCGACGUUUCCUUUUAUCCUGGUGUAAUCUUUGGCAAUAGCUGCAAAACAAGUAUCUCAUCUUCCCUGUUCCCUUUGUUUUGUUACUACCCUGCCCAGCCCUGAAGCCAGUCAGUUUCUCCAGAAACACUGGUCAAUAGCUUCUGUGUAGACUAGAAACAACCACUCAUAAGACACACUGGCAGUUUGGUUCUUAGAUCAGCAUUUAAAA
Molecule: long non-coding RNA, 728 nt
Organism: Heterocephalus glaber (naked mole-rat)
Lineage: Eukaryota; Metazoa; Chordata; Mammalia; Rodentia; Bathyergidae
Source: RefSeq, a predicted model, not a curated record